Molecule: non-coding RNA, 22 nt
Filed under: Arabidopsis thaliana (thale cress)
Lineage: Eukaryota; Viridiplantae; Streptophyta; Magnoliopsida; Brassicales; Brassicaceae
Source: RNAcentral
UACCAAGCGACCCCACCGAUCC